This 600-nucleotide ribosomal RNA is filed under the name uncultured bacterium. RNAcentral's name for it is "bacterial SSU rRNA". It matches the Rfam family "Bacterial small subunit ribosomal RNA", at positions 97 to 694 of the family's 1533-position model. The record is from RNAcentral.
GGCGUACGGGUGCGGAACACGUGUGCAACCUGCUUUAUCUGGGGGAUAGCCUUUCGAAAGGAAAAGAAUUAAUACCCCAUAAUAUGUUGGAUGGCAUCAUUCGGCAUUGAAAACUCCGGUGGAUAGAGAUGGGCACGCGCAAGAUUAGAUAGUUGGUGAGGUAACGGCUCACCAAGUCUACGAUCUUUAGGGGGCCUGAGAGGGUGAUCCCCCACACUGGUACUGAGACACGGACCAGACUCCUACGGGAGGCAGCAGUGAGGAAUAUUGGACAAUGGGUGAGAGCCUGAUCCAGCCAUCCCGCGUGAAGGACGACUGCCCUAUGGGUUGUAAACUUCUUUUGUAUAGGGAUAAACCUACCCUCGUGAGGGUAGCUGAAGGUACUAUACGAAUAAGCACCGGCUAACUCCGUGCCAGCAGCCGCGGUAAUACGGAGGGUGCAAGCGUUAUCCGGAUUUAUUGGGUUUAAAGGGUCCGUAGGCGGAUCUGUAAGUCAGUGGUGAAAUCUCACAGCUUAACUGUGAAACUGCCAUUGAUACUGCAGGUCUUGAGUGUUGUUGAAGUAGCUGGAAUAAGUAGUGUAGCGGUGAAAUGCAUUAA